UAAGGAAUAUUGGACAAUGGUCGCAAGACUGAUCCAGCCAUGCCGCGUGCAGGAAGACGGCCCUAUGGGUUGUAAACUGCUUCUGUACCAGAGAAAACCUAUCUACGUGUAGAUAGCUGAUAGUAUGGUAAGAAUAAGCAUCGGCUAACUUCGUGCCAGCAGCCGCGGUAAGACGAAGGAUGCAAGCGUUAUCCGGAUUCAUUGGGUUUCAAGGGUGCGUAGGCGGGCUUGUAAGUCAGUGGUGAAAUCUCUCAGCUUAACUGAGAAACUGCCAUUGAUACUGCAGGCCUAGAGUAUAGAUGACGUUGGCGGAAUAUGACAUGUAGUGGUGAAAUACUUAGAUAUGUCAUAGAACACCGAUUGCGAAGGCAGCUAACGAAACUAUAACUGCCGCUGAGGCACGAAAGUGCGGGGAUCAAACA
RNAcentral lists this ribosomal RNA (422 nucleotides) under uncultured bacterium. RNAcentral's name for it is "bacterial SSU rRNA". It matches the Rfam family "Bacterial small subunit ribosomal RNA", at positions 355 to 774 of the family's 1533-position model. The record is from RNAcentral.